Molecule: transfer RNA, 68 nt
Filed under: Ipomoea nil (Japanese morning glory)
Lineage: Eukaryota; Viridiplantae; Streptophyta; Magnoliopsida; Solanales; Convolvulaceae
Rfam family: tRNA
About the family: Transfer RNA (tRNA) molecules are approximately 80 nucleotides in length. Their secondary structure includes four short double-helical elements and three loops (D, anti-codon, and T loops). Further hydrogen bonds mediate the characteristic L-shaped molecular structure. tRNAs have two regions of fundamental functional importance: the anti-codon, which is responsible for specific mRNA codon recognition, and the 3' end, to which the tRNAs corresponding amino acid is attached (by aminoacyl-tRNA synthetases). tRNAs cope with the degeneracy of the genetic code in two manners: having more than one tRNA (with a specific anti-codon) for a particular amino acid; and 'wobble' base-pairing, i.e. permitting non-standard base-pairing at the 3rd anti-codon position.
Source: Rfam by way of RNAcentral
GGGUUCAUAGCUCAGUGGUAGAGCAAUUGACUGCAGAUCAAUAGGUCAUCGGUUCAAAUCUAGCCUCG